Molecule: ribosomal RNA, 510 nt
Filed under: uncultured bacterium
Lineage: Bacteria
Description: partial 16S ribosomal RNA
Source: RNAcentral
GGAGUUAGCCGGUGCUUCUUCUGUGAGUGAUGUCCUUCCUGCCGGCUAUUAACCCGCAGGCCUUCUUCCUCACUGAAAGUGCUUUACAACCCGAAGGCCUUCUUCACACACGCGGCAUGGCUGGAUCAGGGUUGCCCCCCAUUGUCCAAUAUUCCCCACUGCUGCCUCCCGUAGGAGUCUGGGCCGUGUCUCAGUCCCAGUGUGGCUGAUCAUCCUCUCAGACCAGCUACGGAUCGUCGCCUUGGUGAGCCGUUACCUCACCAACCAGCUAAUCCGACAUAGGCUCAUCCGAUAGCGCGAGGCCCGAAGGUCCCCCGNUUUCCCCCGUAGGGCGUAUGCGGUAUUAGCCUGGGUUUCCCCCAGGUUAUCCCCCACUACCCGGGCAGAUUCCUAUGCAUUACUCACCCGUCCGCCGCUCGCCACCAGGGAGCAAGCUCCCCGUGCUGCCGCUCGACUUGCAUGUGUUAGGCCUGCCGCCAGCGUUCAAUCUGAGCCAUGAUCAAACUCUGA